GUGAUGGGGGCGUUCAGAGCCAGUGGCCAAGAAAGAAUUCUUGAAGACGUCUUUGGUGCAAAAAAGGUGAUUUUAUUAAAGCACGGGGACAGGACCCGAGGGCAGGAAGAGCUGCACUGGGGUUGUGACAG
Long non-coding RNA from Leopardus geoffroyi (Geoffroy's cat), 131 nucleotides. RefSeq lists it as uncharacterized. The transcript has 3 exons. NCBI's taxonomy places the organism in Eukaryota, Metazoa, Chordata, Mammalia, Carnivora, Felidae. The record is from RefSeq and is a predicted model, not a curated record.